UCAGGAUAAACGCUGCGGCGCACAUAAGACAUGCAAGUCGAACGGACUUAACCUAUUAGUUUUACGUUAUUGGUAGCGGUUAGGUGGCGGACUAGGUGAGUAACACGUAAGUAACCUGCCUAUCAGAGGGGAACAACAGUUAGAAAUGACUGCUAAUACCGCAUAUGCCAUAACCAUCGCAUGAUGGAAGUGGGAAAGGAGAAAUCCGCUGAUAGAUGGACUUGCGACUGAUUAGAUAGUUGGUGGGGUAAAGGCCUACCAAGUCGACGAUCAGUAGCCGAACUGAGAGGUUAAACGGCCACAUUGGGACUGAGAUACGGCCCAGACUCCUACGGGAGGCAGCAGUCGGGAAUAUUGCGCAAUGGAGGAAACUCUGACGCAGUGACGCCGCGUGCAGGAAGAAGGUUUUCGGAUUGUAAACUGCUUUAGACAGGGAAGAAAAAAGACAGUACCUGUAGAAUGAGCUCCGGCUAACUACGUG
Molecule: ribosomal RNA, 481 nt
Filed under: uncultured bacterium
Lineage: Bacteria
Description: bacterial SSU rRNA
Rfam family: Bacterial small subunit ribosomal RNA
Source: RNAcentral